RNAcentral lists this ribosomal RNA (507 nucleotides) under uncultured fungus. RNAcentral's name for it is "SSU rRNA". It matches the Rfam family "Eukaryotic small subunit ribosomal RNA", at positions 569 to 1078 of the family's 1831-position model. Lineage: Eukaryota; Fungi. The record is from RNAcentral.
AGCAGCCGCGGUAAUUCCAGCUCCAAUAGCGUAUAUUAAAGUUGCUGCAGUUAAAAAGCUCGUAGUUGAAUUUCGGGACCAUCAUGUUGGUCGUGCCUCGGUACGUACUGGCAUUGUUGGUUUCUCCCUUCUGACGAACCAUGAUGUCAUUUAUUUGGUGUUGUGGGGAAUCAGGACUGUUACUUUGAAAAAAUUAGAGUGUUUAAAGCAGGCUCACGCUUGAAUACAUUAGCAUGGAAUAAUGAAAUAGGACGUUUGAUUCUAUUUUGUUGGUUUCUAGGAUCGACGUAAUGAUUAAUAGGGAUAGUUGGGGGCAUUAGUAUUCAAUUGUCAGAGGUGAAAUUCUUGGAUUUAUUGAAGACUAACUACUGCGAAAGCAUUUGCCAAGGAUGUUUUCAUUAAUCAAGAACGAAAGUUAGGGGAUCGAAGACGAUCAGAUACCGUCGUAGUCUUAACCAUAAACUAUGCCGACUAGGGAUCGGAUGAUGUUAAUUUUUUAAUGACUCA